RNAcentral lists this ribosomal RNA (560 nucleotides) under Bacillus pumilus. RNAcentral describes it as "bacterial SSU rRNA". It matches the Rfam family "Bacterial small subunit ribosomal RNA", at positions 57 to 604 of the family's 1533-position model. Lineage: Bacteria; Bacillati; Bacillota; Bacilli; Caryophanales; Bacillaceae. The record is from RNAcentral.
UCAAGUCGAGCGAAUGGGAUUGAGAGCUUGCUCUCAAGAAGUUAGCGGCGGACGGGUGAGUAACACGUGGGUAACCUGCCCAUAAGACUGGGAUAACUCCGGGAAACCGGGGCUAAUACCGGAUAACAUUUUGAACCGCAUGGUUCGAAAUUGAAAGGCGGCUUCGGCUGUCACUUAUGGAUGGACCCGCGUCGCAUUAGCUAGUUGGUGAGGUAACGGCUCACCAAGGCAACGAUGCGUAGCCGACCUGAGAGGGUGAUCGGCCACACUGGGACUGAGACACGGCCCAGACUCCUACGGGAGGCAGCAGUAGGGAAUCUUCCGCAAUGGACGAAAGUCUGACGGAGCAACGCCGCGUGAGUGAUGAAGGCUUUCGGGUCGUAAAACUCUGUUGUUAGGGAAGAACAAGUGCUAUUUGAAUAAGCUGGCACCUUGACGGUACCUAACCGGAGGGCCGCGGCUACCCCGUGCCAGCAGCCGCGGUAAUACGUAGGUGGCAAGCGUUAUCCGGAAGUUGAGCGUGAGCGCGCCAGGUGUUUCUUAUUCUGAGUGAAAGCCAC